Molecule: long non-coding RNA, 1516 nt
Organism: Dermacentor andersoni
Lineage: Eukaryota; Metazoa; Arthropoda; Arachnida; Ixodida; Ixodidae
Source: RefSeq, a predicted model, not a curated record
GGAAAUAUCACGGCAGCAGCGCGCUAGGAAGCGGAUAAAUGAGUUCUCUCUUCCUCUUCCGAUAGAGUAGCUUGGUCAGCUAUUAUAUCAUCGCCACUCGGAGCAGAAGCCGAACGAUGUGAUGCCAUAGAAUGAACGUACGCUAUGAUUAAAACACGUACAUCUAUCAGCCGGGCAACGUAAAAAACAGGCUUCCUUUUUUUUUUUCAGAUUCAAGCUGCAGUAUAGCUGUCAAGGGCGACACCAAUGCCAUGCCGUGCAAGAGGCCCGCACUGCGAGUCACCUGCCUGCACUGACCUGUGAAAGAAUAUAAGCGGCUUUCUAGGGUGCCCGGAAAACAAGCUUUAAAUCUCUGCGUCUUCUUUAGUACGAUCGUCGCGGUACCGUCCAUCCAGCUUUUACGACUGCAUCUCUUUCCGGUCGCGCGAGCCUUCUUUUCUUUGUCGAAACUUCUCCUGCAGGUGGCCCCGCACCCUGAAGAGCUCUGCGACAUCUUUUUUGGCCGAGUGUGUCAGCAUUCGCCGGGCACCGAAGCACCUGUUUUUUUCCUCUUUUUUUUUUCCGAAAGCGCCAGCCGAUUUUGCUUUACGAUCUCCCUCAGACUGUUUGGCACAGUUAUUUAGUGCUUCCGCUAUGUGCCUCUAAAUAAACUUGCUCCCUUUUUGCCCCGGCUUUCGCAGCAAGACCUUCUUAUCGCACAGUCGCUCGGAUUCAACGGGUGGAAUUUGUGCGUUAGAACCAUUUAGAACCUCUUUUGACUUUUGUAAAAUCGGACACUCCUUAUACAUAUCAGCAUGCUACCAAGGUUCAAGUAGUUCCAUCUUCAACAACCCCACUUAAGAUAGGGACAAGUACAAGAACACUAGACAUAUGCUGGCUACCAACCGCGUUUAUUACACGAGAACAGCAGUUUAACUUUAUAUAUAUAUAUACGCCACCACGUCAUUCCUGCAACUGGCGCCUGUACACACAGAUCCUGCAACCAGAAAUACAGCGCUAAGAAUUAUGACCUGUUGACGCUACUUGGGAACCAAAAUUCACGUAGUGGCCUAAUCUACUUUCAAGAAAAUCCACUUCGAGAUCGCAUGAUGCAAUCGCGGGGCGGCUGGCACACACGUCGCCACAUUUCAUUAAUUCUAAACGCCCUGGUCAUUUCACUCCUUAUCCUUUCCUUGCGACUGCGGGUGAUCUUACCAACUUGCGUAAGUUGGGAUUUUAUUUCGAACUAGUUGCAAGCCAGGACGAGCCCCUGACAGAGCCGACUGCGAACAGGAUUGCACGUGGUUGAUGUAAAUAAGCACAAUGCGGCGAAACAGUUUUUCAAGCAACUACUACGACACCGUGCUUCCAAAAAAAUAAAACGAAUAGCUUUGAAAACAAGCUUACGGUAAAUAAAUCGGUUCUUUUUCACGCAGUAAGGCAGGAACAUGGACACGAUGCCUAAGUUCAGGCAAAUGAUAUGUUCAUAAAAAAAAAGCCUGGCCGCGGUGGCUUUGCGGCUACGGCGUUGCACUGC